This 556-nucleotide long non-coding RNA is filed under the name Equus asinus (donkey). RNAcentral describes it as "lncRNA (ENSEASG00005033615.1)". The record is from RNAcentral. Lineage: Eukaryota; Metazoa; Chordata; Mammalia; Perissodactyla; Equidae.
UAUGCCUUGUAAAACUUCGAACCCAGAAGAUCCCAAUUAUCUGCCAUAUCUUAGCUACUGCUGGUCUCAUGAUACUUGCUACGAAAAGCAUAAUGUUGGUACCACUAUAUAUCAAAAUCACCCACAGUAACUGGGAAACAUCCAUAAUGUCUGGACAUUUUGCUUUCUUUUCAUGUGUGGGCAUAUUUACUCCUUGAUUUUCACAUGCUUGUUUCAAAUAUUCCCCACAUUUCUUUUUACUUAAUACACGUCAGGGUCCCUUAACUUGCCUGAUAUUUCACAGGGAAAUUGCUGUCUCUAUUCCUUCCCCUCAGUUGAGAACCAUUGAGAAAAGGUCAUCUACAUGAUGUGUCUCUGAGGCCUCACCUCCUGCUACCUCUGCAGACCACCCCACACUCCAUCUGUCCUCACCAUUCUAUGGCUGCUCGCCUGAGAAUGUUUAACUGAAAAAAAUUCAACUUACAAGUGAAGAUUGUGCUGUAAAUGGAAAGUACAAACUGGAUUUGGGGAACCCAGUAAAAAAUAUGCUCUGGCUGCUGGAAAGCUGAGAAUGAGA